This 484-nucleotide ribosomal RNA is filed under the name uncultured bacterium. RNAcentral describes it as "partial 16S ribosomal RNA". It matches the Rfam family "Bacterial small subunit ribosomal RNA", at positions 30 to 507 of the family's 1533-position model. The record is from RNAcentral.
AUUGAACGCUGGCGGCAGGCCUAACACAUGCAAGUCGAGCGGAUGAAGGGAGCUUGCUCCUGGAUUCAGCGGCGGACGGGUGAGUAAUGCCUAGGAAUCUGCCUGGUAGUGGGGGAUAACGUCCGGAAACGGGCGCUAAUACCGCAUACGUCCUGAGGGAGAAAGUGGGGGAUCUUCGGACCUCACGCUAUCAGAUGAGCCUAGGUCGGAUUAGCUAGUUGGUGGGGUAAAGGCCUACCAAGGCGACGAUCCGUAACUGGUCUGAGAGGAUGAUCAGUCACACUGGAACUGAGACACGGUCCAGACUCCUGCGGGAGGCAGCAGUGGGGAAUAUUGGACAACGGGCGAAAGCCUGAUCCAGCCAUGCCGCGUGUGUGAAGAAGGUCUUCGGAUUGUAAAGCACUUUAAGUUGGGAGGAAGGGCAGUAAGUUAAUACCUUGCUGUUUUGACGUUACCAACAGAAUAAGCACCGGCUAACUUCGUG